CUUAAUCAUGGCGAAAAUAUUAAAUUUUCUCUAUACAAUAAGCAUAAACUGUGCUGUGACGCUCGACUCAGACGAAUAUACCAACAAAACGUGUCCGUGAAAUUUUUCCCUUAUAACUUAGGAACAAAGCCACGUACGAAGGUAGUGCGAAAAGGUAGAGUAGAGAUUUUUAAAGGCAAAAAAGCUGAAUGUAAAGAAAAAGCGCAGGAUAGAAAUUUACAGGUCAUUGUGUGCUUUGCCUUGCUGCCCUCGCUGCAAACUGUGCCACCAAGCAAGCUGGCGAUAUGCAAUACGUUUUCAAGUUUAUUAGAAUUCACAAUAAAACCCAUUAAAAUGAAAUUCUGCUGCGAGUGUCACAAAACGAUUGCGAUAAUGGCAUACAAAUGGGCAUGGACAAAUGAAAAGCGCUAGGUUAUGUGUUGAUGUAUUGGUGUGUCGGACGAAAAUAGAUAAAAGUAAUUAAUCAAACACACAGGAGCAGGCGAGGGAAGUCAAGAGCAGCAGGAAGUGCGCAACGCAAGGAAAGAUGUGAAAAAGAUUGUGCGUGAAGUGAAAAGGAUAAAGCAGACGAAGGACAGAACAAAGAAAAAUGUCAUUCGAAGAAUACGAGGAAUACGAGCAUAGGGAGCCAUAAGGAAGAAGAAAUUGAAAUGGCAUACGUACGUACCGAUGUAUAGUAUAUGAACAGAAGAUAAAACAUGUGAAAGAUAAUGAACACGAACAAAGCGAACAAAGUGCAUAGCAAUGAAAAGCAGUUGGCGGAGGAUAGGAAAAGCUGUCGCAGAGAGAAACGAAGCUAAACGAUUCCAUCGAGCUGAGGAGAGAGUUUCAUUUUACUCCAAUCGUCGUCAUCAUCAUUGCCAUUUCCCAGUUGAAAGCUGCGCCACCCGCACUUCACGUUGCCAGCCAUACAUGUUAGCCAACGAGAAAUUCCCAGUAAAUUACACUCUUCACCAUGCUUUUGAAGCUCUUCGACAGCUGGUCCCCAACACGUGCCAAUGUCACCAAUUGUCAACAGCAAACGCAACAACGUAAAUAGUUGUCACAAAACUACACACACACACACACGAGCAUACGCGUACUGACACAGCCACUGCGCUGCUUUAUCUUCGCACACCAUCUGUCACAUAGCAAAAAAAAAAAACAAAAAAAAGAGGUAGAGUCGCAGUGCUCAAUUGGCUUUACCUUCAGCAUUGCCCACAGAACUAACAGCGCGCAGUCAGUAGUGAGCAUCCACUCUGCUAAGUAGCAUUGCAUCGUCAUCGUCAUCCGCAUUCGUCAGACAACAAACAGCAACACGAAAACGCUUGGCGCCGAUAAAGUUCUAUUCGGCUAACGAAUGGAACAAACAUACCCACAUACUUACGAUUGAGAAUGUGAAAGUGUUGUAAUUGUUAGUGAAGUGGUAGAUAAUUCAUCGAGCCAACAAACAAGCACACACCCACACUCUCUACCAUGGAGUAGUAGACAACCGUUACAAAUAAAACAAUGUACGCGCGCGCCUAAAAGUGGAUAUGCCAAAAAUGCAGUAGUUAUGUGAAAAAAUAUCAAACAAAUAGUACUUGCGAAAAUAAAUUCGCUUGUAAAUAUUAAUUAUAUUUGUAAAUGAGUAGUGAAAGAGUUUAUGUUUACUAAAACAAAAAAAAAAAUUAAAAAUUAAAAAUAAAAAUAUAAUAUUGUAUAUACAAAUACUGCAUACGAAUAUUGUUUAAAUAAUUGCAUUAAUUAUAUAAAAUAAAUAAGUGAAAUUUAUUAUCAAAGACUUAACGGAUUACUGAUCAAAUAAGUAAAACUAAUAUAUACUUAUAAGUAUAUAUAUGCAUAGGACGCCUAGGUUUAUGCUGUAAAUUCAAAAGUCUUAACUAACAACGAAUGUUCACACAACGCCGUCUUUAUGGAUAUAGGUAAUAAAAGUUAAAGUGCAGAGUUCUGCAAGCAAGGUGCCCAUCAUCCCCAAUAAAUAGGAAAAAGUAAAAAGGCGAAGAUAAGCUGCAUAAAAGCCAGCUCUCCAGCACAAAACCCAAUAUCUGCAAGUUAAAAUUGCUGCAAUAGCGGACUUACGCACCGAUGAUUGAGCACAAACCAAUACCAGCGUCUGCAGAUAUGCAUGUAUGUGUGCAGCAACCAUAACAAUAGUGCAAACGUUAAGAACGGAGAAAAAUGAAAACUAAAACAACAAUUGCAACAAAUGGAAGGGCACAAUAGCAGGUAUUGGAAAGUACUGUAAAAGAGCUAAAAUACGAGACACAAUAACGGAAACAAGAUUCAAUUUGCGUAUACAAGCAAGCAUACACACAGACAUACAGACACGCACUCACACUCACAUAUGUGCAUCGGGCAAACCGAUACUAAGCGAUACAAGCCCGAUGAGCUGAAAGCACUACAAGGAUUUUGCAAUAAAAAAUUGCAAAUUUCUACAACAACAGCAACAACUACUUACUGCAACAGCAAGAGCACAGACCAUAAACAAAGGACAUCAGCUAGCGAUCAAACGACUGACAGUUGCCCAAGGGAAGGCAGAUAGCAACAACAAAAAUAGCAAGCAAUGUUGUGGAAUUUCGCCAAAUUAAUUAACAAAGGACAUAACUCAACGAAUAGCAACAAAAAAAGUCCCAAAACAAAAGCAACAACAGCCAAAGACACGAAAAAGUAGCAGCAUAACACAAAAUAGUUCUAACAAGCAGAAUUAGUAAGCCUGGUAAUAAAGCAACCCCGAUAAAAACAAGCAAACAAAAAAGGAAACUAGCAAACAACAAAAAACAAAUAGAUGAUCUUGCCUUGGACUGUGAUGACUACGUAAUGGAUGACCCAGUAAAACCAAAAACAAAUGCACCACAUACAAAAAACGAUAGGCAACACUGACGACCAGCGAGAACUACAGUGCUAAGGACUAAGCAGAUAAGUAGGUGGAAGAGGAAGAGGAAGCACAAUAAAAGAAACUGAGCACCUUGUAAAGACAUAAAGCGGUUUUAAAAAUAUAUUUUGUUUAAAAUAUUUGAGCUACGAAAAAUAGGUGCAAAGGAGCAGCGCAUUACGGUGUGGAAGCAGCGAAAACUAUGCUAAAACUGCAAAAGCUUUAAAAUCUUAGUAAAUAUUACAAAAAAAAAAAAAAACAUAUUAAAAUUAUUAUUAAAUAACUUUAACUUAUCCAUAUAAUUAAUUAUAAAUCUGAAAAAAUAAAAUAGAAACUACUAUUUCGAUAAUUAUAUAUACAAAUAAAGAUGUAUGGGAAAAGAUAUUUAAAAAAAUACAAUUAAAGCAACCAAAAAAUUAUUAAAAACAACAAGAAUUAAAUCGGCACUCGCUCAUCUAAUAAAAAAAUAAACACAACUAGCAAAAAGUCCGAAUAUAAUAAGCAAAAGAAGAGGCAAACCCAUAAAAGAAGCGCAAGUAGAUAACCACAAAUAUCCAAAAACACAAAAAACUAGUAAAUUCAGCAUUACCAGCGUCAGUAAGUCGCUGCAACAACAACUUCUGCAAAAACAAGCAAAACGGGAACUGCCCCAGCCCAUGAAAGAAGUCACAUAGGAAUACAAAAAAACCAAAAGAAAAAAACAAAAAUUAUCAAAUCGAAAAAGGGGAACAGAGGAAAUUGUAAACUGAAUCAACGAAAUCAUUUCUAUAUGAAUUUUUUCACAUUUCAAAGCCUUAGUAAACUUUAAGCUUUAAGCUAUAUUAGAAGCUCUACAAAACUCAACUUGCAAUUGCCCAUAGCUUCACGAGUUAAGUAUACGGGACUUACGUCACGCGCCUAAACACAACACACAUAUACACACCCACUCAAAAGCGAAUUUCCAGCGGCGUGUGUAGAAAAAUGGAUGAUAUGCCGGAUUUGUCCCACUUAACGCCCCAUGAGCGUAUGCAAAUCGAAAAUGUUCUUAUGCGACAAAAGCAGGAAGAGGAGGCGCACAAUGAGAUUAUGCGACGUAAACAAGAUGAGGUCGUCUCGCUAGAAAUGCAAAUACGUCAACGCUCAGAGGAGCAAAAGAAAUCGGGCAUCGAAUUGGGUGCAAUAUGCCACAUUUGCCUUCAGACGAAAUUCGCCGAUGGAAUCGGGCACAUUUGCCACUACUGCAACAUUGUGUGCUGUGCGCGAUGUGGCGGAAAAGUGACACUUCGCAGCAAUAAAGUGAUUUGGGUCUGUAUACUGUGCCGUAAAAAACAAGAAUUACUUUCAAAGACUGGGCAAUGGAUGAACAAGGGUCAGCAACAGGAUAGUUUCCUGCGACGCAUUGAGCCUGAUGGCAGUAGUGAUAUCUCGCAGCAGGCCAUUGUGGAUCCGCAUGAUACGCUCGACAAGCGCCCUAAGUUGGAGCGAACGCGUAGCGCUGCCGAAAAAGAGAAUCUGCCAAUGCAACGGGCGGGCAGCGUGCUGCGGCGUCAAUACUCACAACAGGAGGCGCCCACAAAUCGGCGCAUGUCGACAACCGACAGUGGUGUGGAUGUUAGUCCCGGCCAACAGCGUCAAAGGCCCAUGAAUCAACAGCAGCCAAUGCAACAACAAUAUGGAACACAAAGUGGACAACAAAUUGGAGGAGGAGGAGGAGGAGGAGGGCAACGCCCAUAUCCGGAGGAUGAUCCGCGCUAUUACAAGGGUGAAUUGGACGGCCUGAUGCGGCAACAUCCACAUCUCGCACAUCCUAGCCAACUGCAAAAGCAGCAGCAGCAACAGCAACAGCAAAGCUAUCAGCAGCAGCAGCAGCAGUCACAUCUGCAGCAACAACAACAGCAACAGCCGCUAGCACAGAAAGCGCAAUAUCAGCAUCAACAACAGCAAAAGCAACAUCAGCAGCUGCAGCAACACCAACAGCAACAGCAUCAUGGGCAACAGCAGCGUGCUUUGCCACCACAUCAGCAGCACCUGCAACAUCAGCAACAGCAGUCGCAGCAUUCACAACACCACCAAGCACAGCCGCAACCGUUGCGUCCGCAAAUGCAGCCACAUCACCAACUGUCGGCACAAACGGCCGGCGGCAUGGCGCAGCAACAGCAUCAGCAACAGCAUCAGCAGCAUCAGCAACAUCAGCAACAUCAGCAACACCAGCAGCACCAGCAACACCAGCAGCUUCAACAGCAUCAGCAUCAACAACAACAACAGCAACGGCUUCCACAUCAACACUCCUAUAAUCCACAAACGGCACAGCGGUCCGCGCCCUCCAUGGGCGGCGGAUCUUAUCAGAAGCCAGCGCCAAUAUCGCGUAAUCUCACGAUUAGCGGUGGUCAUGCCAUGGAUACUGCAACUUACCCUCAAGCACAACAACAACAACAACAGCGACGACCAAUAGUCGGCGGCCAAUAUGGACCGCCACAGCAGCGCUCGUUUAGCAGCUCUGAGGAGGAGAUCCAAGCGCAUAUGUUGGCGCCACAAUCGGCUGAAUACGACUACGACGGCGUCCUACGUGAACCGUGGAAACAGCAGCGCAGCCUCAACGAGCGUGAUCUCUUAAGUGUGACAAAUUCAUACGGCGCCAACGACUACCGCCUGACCAAUACGAAUCGUUUGUACUCUUCUGCCGAUCGUGAUCGCUACGACUUGCAUCGCGAACGCCUAGAACGAUACCCAUUAACGCGUACCGCACGACUGGAUGUGCAGCAGCACAACACCUACAAUCGCACAAAUCACGAUCGACACCAGACGAUCGCUAGUAGUGGAGCGCUGUAUACGGCGCGACGUGCGCCCACAUUAGCCACGGCUACGACAACUACUGGCGGCGGUGGUAGCAGCAGCAGCAGCGCCGGCAGCUACCACCAACACCACCAUCACAAUCAACAACAACAGAAGCAGCAGCAGCAGCAUCAUAUAAAUCCCCAAAUUGUGAUUGACGAUAAACCAUUGCCGGCCACUGCUUAUGAUCGCUACGGCAGCGCGCUGGGUACGCGCGGCGGUGAGGAGGGUAGUGCAAGACGCAUUGGUGCUGCUGCCACUGGUAGUCUUGGACGUGAGCGCAGUUUAAUCGCUGACCCAUAUUGGGAAGAAACCAUUACGACUGGAAGUGCAGCACAGGACUCGAGACGCUAUACGGAACGUAGAAUAAAGAAAACGGUGCGCUUUGAUGGGCACGAUGAUCCAUUGGUGACAGCCACAAGUGUCAUAACCGGCCCACUGCCACCGGUGACAACACAAAUUCUGCCUUCAACGGCUGUGGACGUGGGUGCGGCCACCAUACUGACCAGCGCCAAAUUGGGCGCAAACGCAAACACUGCCAAUACGAUAAGCAUUUCGGAUGCGGCUGCCGAUUGGGCGCGUUGGGAUGCUGAACGGCAGGGUAGCCAGGAUUCGGCAACGAAGGAUUCUGGCAUCGAUACAAGCAGUACGUUCACGAGUAGCGAAGACUCGAAUCGUGGCGAAGGGCCAAAGCAACCGGUGAAUUGGCAAAUAUCCGCGGAUAAUACUCGCAUGAUUGGUCACAUGAUAUUACGAAAGUAUUACGAUGGUGAGGAUAUUCUUGGCUUAAAAGUCAUAGGCGGUCAGCAAUUUACAACGUCUCCAUCGGCAACAGCGGACGCCAGUGGAAAUAGUGAGAUCAUCGGUUGUGGUGCGAUCGUGGAAAAAGUUAAACGCGGUUCGAUAGCGGAUGUUGAAGGACAUAUACGACCAGGCGACGAAAUCAUCGAGUGGAACGGUCGAGUGCUGCGAAAUAAGUGCGCCGACGAGGUUUAUCAGAUAAUCGACGAAAGUCGCUUGGACGCACAAGUCGAAUUGGUCGUUUCACGCCCCUUGGCCACCAACGCUGUCGGUAGCAAUGCGGUACGCAGAGGAGGAGGCCAUCAGCAACAGGGCGCCGCCUUGCACAACCCAACUCUCACAAGCACUAUUGCCAACAGUGCUGUGGUCAGCAGCGGCGGACGCUAUUUUUCACGAAAAGCGUCCACUGCUUCCGAUGCUAUCGAUAUCCAUCGCGACAAGCCGAGUGUUCUAAUCACAUCGCCCGGUUCGCCCGAUCUACACGCCACUGGCGGCGGCGCGCACACCUUGCGGCAGACGAAUGUGCAACAACGUGGCUACAGCGGCGGCGCCGGUACGUAUCAACAGCAUUCACAGCAUCAGCAACAGAAGCAGCAACAGCAGCAGCAACAGCAGCAGCACCAGCAGCAUAAUAAGCAGCACCAACGGCUUGGAGCGAACGCCGCGAACACAGCCAGUGCAACAGCAGCCGGUACACAAGCCACAACGACGGCGGGCCACCAUCAUCACUGUCACCAGCUACCACCGCCACCGCACACGCAUCCACAUGCCGCCGCACAUCACUUGCCCACUGUGGGUAUGGCGCAUGCAUUGCCCAUGGCUGUCGAGGGUCGGCUACAGAUGAAACUCGGCUACGAUCAGAACACCCUGCAGCUGAUAGUGACGCUCGUCUGUGCGACGGGGCUAACAUUGCGACAAACCGGCGCCGCACGCAAUCCUUAUGCAAAAGUGUUCCUUCUACCCGAUCGGGGUACAAAAUCGAAAAGACGCACCAAAACCUUAGCGAAUACUUGCGAACCGCGCUGGGGCCAAACGUUCGUUUACUCGGCGCUACGACGUUCCGAUCUCACCGGCCGUUUACUCGAAGUGACCCUGUGGGAUUAUGUGCGCUACGGUGCUAAUGACUUUAUCGGCGAAGUGGUCAUUGAUUUGGCGCAUCAUGUGCUCGACGAUGAAGCGGAAUGGUACCAGCUGCAGCCGCAUCAGGACACUUCGUAUCUCUUGCAUCACGACGACCAAAGUGAAGCGGACAUUAUGAUUUUGACACCGACAGAUCAUUUAUCACCACCCAGCACAACGUCACGUCUAAGCGACUCCGAUACGACGUCUGAAUGUGACAUCGAUGGACUGACGCCGGGACGUGAUGGCGCAAGCAUUUCCUCAUUGGGCAGCUCAUCAAGUCCACCACCAGAGAUCGACUUGAAUGAACGUCGUUCGAGACGCGACAUGUCACCUCAAGGUCGCAAGCGGGUUGCUGGUAUGGUAGCGCGUGAUUAUCGCACGGUAUCUGGCAUUGGACAAAGUUACCACAAUCAGCAGGUGAGCACAGGUUAUUUGCGUCGCAAUGGCGCCAUUACUGGCCCUAGUGGCAUGAGCCUCAGCCAGCGCAGUCACUCUGCCGCACCGACUGACAGCUAUCACGGUGUGACCGGUAGCGGUCACAGUUACUAUCGCAGCAGCAGCCCGAGACGCGGCUCUCUCUCGCCGCCCGACGACCGUUACAUAGACUAUCCAGUUCUUCCAAUACACGCAUCUGGCUCAGCGUACGGCCAUCCAUUGCCAGGUGGCGCAGGUGCGUUAGCAGCCAACGCAGGCGGCGCUGCCUUGGGUGGAGUGGGAGGUGGUGGUGCGGCUGUAAUCGGCACAGGUUCUGCGCAGCAGGCACGCUUUCAGUCGCGCUCCGCAACUGCCACGCCGACGGGCUCGCCCAAGAAGCGACAACUGCCACAGGUGCCGCAAACUUCUCGCAGCGCUAUGCUACGUGAUCGACUGGGCCAAGAGUUCGAUGAGCGUCCGGGCGGCGGACGUUUUGGCCGUCAUCGUACACGUCAAAUGCACCAUCAGGCGACGUAUCGUAGCACCGGCAUGGGUGGAUGGGAGCGCCACUACACUGGGCUUUCAGACAGCGAUCUGCACUCGAUGGAGACGCGCGUACGACCGCGUCACUCGCUCUCCCCCGACAAAGACUUCAUGGGUGAAUUCGGAGACUCCGAUAUGGAAUCGGUGGUUAGCGUGACUUCGAGCGCCUUCUCCACACAAUCGGAACGGCCGCGCGGCUCACGCGGUCUAAGCUUACCGCGCAACUGGCGCACUCUGUACGGUGCCGAUCCAAUGCCUGGCGCCACCUCCACCACGCUUGCUGGCCACCAUGCACCUGCUCGUGGACGUGGCUUCUUUGAACGCUAUCGCGCCAAUACAAUUGAGGUCGAUGAUUGUGAUUUUUUACCAACCAGUCUAACCGGGCCGUCAUCACUGUAUGCCACAAUGCAAUCGCCGCCGCACCUCAAUACCGUCUCACAGCAAAUGUUGCUGCUGGAACAGCUGGAGCAACUGCAACAACUCGCAGAGUUGGCAGCUGCCGAUUCGCCUCCGAACACUGCAACACUGGGAGCGGCGUCUAAUCCACACAAUUUGUUAAGUGCAACUGCGACAAAUACUCCGCCACACCACUUGUUACCACCACACCGACAAUUGCAAUUGCAACAACAGCAUCUACAAGAACCAAUACAACUGCCAAGCCAACUAAUAAUGACCGACAAUAGCGGCAAUCUAGUAGUCGACCAGUACAUGCUCGAUGUGGGCGCUGAUCCGGGUCUGCUGUUAAUGGAGCCAGCGGGCGUAACAGUGAUACCGCCGACUCCGCCACCUACAUUACCGCCGCCGCUGCCGCCACCAGCGCACACAGUCAGCACACAACUACAACUGCAACAACAACAACAGCCAUCACAUUCACAGCCACACCCUCAUGCAUUUCACCCAAAUCAGUAUCCGCCCCACAUACUGAAUUUCACACAUUUCCCCGAGUUUUUAACGCAUGCUGCCGAUUACAGUCCUUUCGUCGAAAAGGUUUUUCACCGUGAUAGCUCUCUAGGUUCCAGUAGCCAUUAUCCAUUCUACGAUCACAUGCAAAACAUCACAUCGUCAGUAGCAAAUUUUUUUCGCCAUAGCUCGGGCUCAACACUCACCACACCUACUGCCGCCGCAGUCAAUUCACCACAUCAGCACGCUCAUUCCGUUUCAUCGUCGCCCUCAUCGUACAUAGCCUACGUACGCGAUCAUUACGACAACACCUGCAGCCACUGCCAAAACGGUAGCCAGCCGGUCGUUCUAUCGACCAAUGCUGCACUCACUACACCCGGCAUUGCCAUAGGCGCUUGCGACAAUCCAUUCUGCAUAGCAGAGUCCCAUCCUCAUCCGCAACAUCAUCCAGUCUCUUAUCCUUAUACAACCGAGCAACUUCUACGUAGACCGUCAUUGUCCAUGUAUCAGCCAUCAUCUGAGCCUUCACUGCCAACUAUGGAUCCGGCAAUAUGCGGCGAAUGUGUGGAUCAGCAUUUCGUGAGCGGUUUUACCGCACCGCAAAUUGACUUGGGCGCUGUGCCCACCUAUCAUGUGCACACUCCAACGCCGACGGCGCACAAAAAGGCAAAGUCCUCACUAGCCCCGCCCCCUCAACUGCCCACACAAUCGGUGUUGCGUCUUUCGCGACAAUUGAGCGAAGAUGCGCUUGUGACGGCUGUGCCCAUCGCCGAGUCAAAAGCGCAUCCUACUUCCAUACUUAAAAAGCCGAAAGUGGGUGCACCGACGGGCACUUUAGACCGGCGAAAAAUGUUUCAUGAGGGUCAGUCACGCUCUUUAGAUUACGAUGAUUUGCAUGCAAAAAGUUGGGGCCGCCGGCGCAUAAGAUACGAAGAUGAGGUUUAUAACCCUCCACUAGAAGAGCUUUCGCGUCGGUAUGGUUCAGAAACGAACAUUCGGCAGUCUUAUAUGGGUGCCAAUGUAGACGCUGUCAAUCCUCUUAGUCACUCGCAUUUCCUUGUCACGGACGAUAAAAUCGUCACCAUAACCUACGAUUCUGAUGUGGGUUGGACACGUCGUGGUGUUGCACCGUCUGUAUUCCACGAUCCCAGACAUCGCUUCGAUGGUCGCGAACGUAACCAUAUGUCCCUUAAUUUACAACGUACCAACCAGGAAAAGCUCUAUGGAGCCGCACUGCCAUACCAAAAGCGACGUCGCAAUUUACCGCAUCCACCAAGCGCACAAAAUGCUCACAAUUUCUCGCCUGUGGAAGGCUACGACGACGAUCCCAUGUUAAUGGACCCUGCCACACAUUCGACUGCUACGCUGCCGCCACAUAGUGGCGAACCACCCAUGAACGGCACUGGCUCCGCGGAACGACCGGGUCCCAUUGGCGAACAUCGCGAUCAACGCGACCCACGUGACCCACGCGAUGCUCGCGAUCCGCGCGAUCCCAGUCGCUCAGCAGGGCCGGGCUCGUCACCUAGUCAACCACGUCAUUCAUCAAUUGUCUCGAAGCGCAGUAAAUCAUCGAUGGCCACCGGUGGUGGUCAUCGCACACGUGUAGAACAGUUACAGCAUGAAUCGGGCAGUGAUCGCAGUAAUCUCGUUAGUAUAAAUGACCAACCCGAAUAUUUCGAAUACGAUGAUUAUGGCGAUCCCUACACAGACCCGCACACUAGUCGUAAUUAUGCAACAACAAAUGCAAGUAGUGGUAGUUUUGUUAGUAGUAGUGGUAGGCAAAAAGGGAAAGAAGUUUCAUACGGCGCGGAACAACAGACGAAAUCUAGUAGUGGGAGUGGUAGUGGUGGUGGUGCUUCUUCUACUGCUGCUGCUGGUAAUAUCGUCGUCGGUGGUAAUAUUUCUAAUAAUGCUUCUUCUUCCUCUUUUGCAAAUUCCCAUCAUGGUGUCGCUAACUCCACAUCACCUAAACGUGCCUCAUUGAAACAUACAAAUACAACUAACGACGCUAACCUAAACGUAAACGUUGACGGAACAACAACUACAACAACAACUACCAUACAAACAACAACUACAUCCACAAACAUCACAACCACAUCAUCGUCGAAUACAACCACGGCAACAACAACAACAAUUGCAACCUCAACAACAACAAAUCCUGCUGCCACAACAACGACAACAACAACGAAUAUUGGUGAUACAACGACGUCCGCUGGUGAUGGCGCUACCGCGGAUGAUGCCGAUGCGCCACUCGACGUCAUCGAUUGGGAUGCAAUCGACGCCAUGUUGGAUGACGAUUUUAGUGAAUACGACAAGGACAAAAAUGGUGGUGGUGAGGAAAAGAAGGAUGAUGCCAACUUCAGCCAAAGUGUAGACGAGAAAGUUGAUGGCAGCUUAUCCGAUACUGCAACGGACCGAAAAAAGGGCGCUGUGGAGCAAGAACGUUCGCCUAAAGGCGGCAGCGGUAUGGGUAAAAAAUCGAACUCCACCUCGCAGUUAUCAGCCACAGGUCGUAAAAGACGUAUGGGCUUUGGAAAGAAGGGUAAGAACUCAUUUACGGUGCAUCGAAGUGAAGAAGUUCUGCCAGGUGAGAUACGUGGGGCGCUGUCGCGCGGGUCGUCAUCUGAGGCCGAUGGUGGCGAGGCAUUGGCUGAUGUCGGAGCCGGCACUGGUGGGGACAGAUUUUCACCUUCGCUGCGUGGUAAUGACGGCCAGUUGUCGGAGUUCAUAGAUGGCCUGGGUCCCGGACAGUUGGUUGGACGACAAGUGCUGGGCGCGCCAUCGCUAGGUGAUAUACAGUUAUCAAUGUGCCAUCAAAAGGGUUUCUUAGAAGUAGAAGUUAUACGUGCUAGAGGCUUACAGCAAAAGCCGACGUCGAAAAUGCUUCCCGCUCCUUAUGUCAAAGUGUAUUUGGUUUCUGGUAAACGAUGUAUUGAUAAAAUGAAAACUUCGACUGCAAGGCGCACAUUGGAUCCGCUAUAUCAGCAGCAAUUGGUAUUCAAGCAGCCAUACCAGGGAUGCAUCCUACAGGUGACUGUUUGGGGUGACUACGGCCGCAUUGAGAAGAAAGUUUUUAUGGGUGUGGCUCAAAUAAUGCUCGACGAUUUAAACCUAUCGAAUAUCGUUAUCGGCUGGUACAAACUCUUUGGAACAACAUCACUGGGACGCCCUAUUGUUUGGCCCGGUGAAUCGGUCAUACUAGAAGAGGAAGGCGAAGAGAUGCAGGUGAACUGAGUGAGUGGCUACCACAAAGCCCAUAUAAGCACACAGACAUCUUGGCGAACACUUAUAACCUCUGCAUAGAGCUGCUUCCACUGCAGCGCCGCGAUGUUAAGUCGCUUGCAUAGCUGAGCAUGGAAAAAACAUACGAGAGAGAGAGCAGAGAAAGGAGAAAAAAUAAACAAAAAGAGUCGCAUGCCGCACGAACGAUGACGCAGAGCGCUUAGCCGAAUUAUCGGGCGGCUCAAGUUAUAAAAAGUGGGCGUGUGCGUGGGCGCAGAGUGGGCGCACGAAAGUGCCGAUGGCUUUGGCGUCGAUCGAGAGCAGCUCAACGGAAACUUUUUGAAUUUAAACGAAGUAGAAAGCACACAAACAAGACAAAACAAAAACAAAAAAAUGCAUAUAAAUAUAUUUAGAAUAUUUUUAAAUUAUGUUUUUUUUAGCUAAAUAUGAGAUAAUGAUUAUGACUAUGUAGAUGAAGAUGAAGUUGAAGAUGAAGAGAACGAAAAAGAGAAAGAUGAUAGCUACGAUUUUGGUGAUUGAUAGAUAUGUAUCAUAGUGAUCGAGGUGUAAUGCCGACAAUGACGAUUUGGAUGUUGAUGAUGAUUCAGAUGAUGACAGAUAAAAGAUGCAUUUAAUACUACAAAAUUGUAAAAUAAUACAUACACACAUACAUAUAUAGAGCAAAGGAGAUGCGUAAAAAGGAUUUAUUAUGAAAAAAAUAUUAAAACAAAAAAACGAAAGGACGUGAGGUUUUGACGGCAUUAUUUAUUACGUAAUAUUCUUGUAAUCAUAAGUGAAUGAAUAUGUAAAACUAUCGUUAGAAAAUAUGCAAAUGAAAAAAUAUAUAAUAUAUAAAAAAAGCAAAUUAAAAACAAAAAGCAAGAAGAAACAACCUUAACUUGAUUGAGUUUAAGUAAAAACAAAAAGAUAAACGAAUGUGAAUUUUAUGAUAAAUAAUUAUCAAAAACUCGAUCGACACAUAUUUCUAUCAAAAAACCAAAGAAAAAACAACAAAAAAUUGUGCUGAAUAAUAUAUUGAUAUGAAAAAACGAGAAAGCAGAAAAUAAAUAUUUGUAAAUAUUAUUCAAGCGAUUAUGUUUAUGAACUAACACAUAAUCACACACACACUGACAGAGACAAACAUAAGAAAGUAAAUCAAAUUUUCCAAUAUAUUAUUAUUAUUAUGCUUAUUAUUACUAAAAGCUGAUAAUGGAUUGUAAAACCGCAAAGCUAAAAUUGCAGCACAGUUUCUUGCACUGGAGAACCCAGUUUACUUUCAGUUCCAGUUCUUUUUUUUUUAUUCUAAUUCAAAUUCUAAUUUAAAUUAAAAAAAAAGAAAAAAAAACAACUCUUUGGAAAAGUGGCAUCGAACAGCGUUGAAUUGCAUUUCGUAUUCAUGAAAACACCCGCAGCAAAUCAGUUAAUAGUAGACCCACUUGAUUGCAAAGAAGCCGCAUGAGUCAUUAUCAGGUCUCUUCAAAUCGAGUUAGCAUUAUUAAAAAAAUGAUGUUGAAGCAACUGACAUAAAUAAACAACACUGGAAAAGAGCUACUAAAAUUUACAUUUAUUUGGAAGCAAUUUAUGAGUAUUAGUUAGCUCGCAUUCAAACAGAGAAACGUUAACUCGUUACUUGUACUGCUCGCGCUCCAUAAACACCGUUUGUAUUCUCGCUCUUCUCUAUAUUGUUCUUGACUUUCGACUAAAAACUAACAAAUGCAAGGCAUGUGAACACGACGGGUAACGCUAAAAGAGAUUUCUCAAUUCGCGUAAAGCAACAAAACUCUUCCAGCAUGAUGCGGUCUUAUGAAACUCUCUUAAAAUGGCGUUGGCCGGCUGCCAAUGGCAGCAAUGAAAAUAGUAGAAUCUUGCUCUUUGUUGCUGUUUUCACAUGCAAAUGUUUCGUCAAGUGAGCAGAGCCCAGAGAUAGCGAACAGAGAAGUGGCGAAUUGAAGACGCCUAAGGUUCAUCUUAAGUUCUACUUCUUUUUUUUGUUAUGAAUUUUGAAUUAUAACAAAGAAACAAAACAUUUUGUAAAAGUGACAACGAACAGCGCUAUAUUGUAGAUCAGUUAAUAGUAGACCCACUUUUUUGAAAAGAAAUCUCAUGGGUUAAUAUAAUACGCAUAAGACAUACACACAUUUGCAUGCGUGAAAUAGUCUAGGCGUGGAAAAGAAGCGCGCAGUAGGGACUUCUAACUUCAAAGUCGGCUUUCAGGCCUUUGCGACUUACUGUCGAUUAAUAGUUUAUCAACAAAUACCUAAAGAUUAUAUGCCGCCAAGAACAGUCUCCAAUGCUGACCAACUUUCGAUUGCUAAUAGCAGCCUAAUCAAUCUUGAAAUCAAAAGACGAAAGUGGAACUGGAUUGCCGGCGCAGAGGAUGCCCACCUCAAACUUGGAUAUGCACAAUCCUUCGAUGAGAGCUCUUCCCCCAUCACCUGGAACAAAAUUAGACUCAUAGCCUUUUUUCGUCAAUGCUCCGUCUAGGAGUGCAGCGAGAUGUUUUUAGUAUGGUUAGGUUAGGUUAGCCACGUUGCUUGUCUAGGGCAAGACACUCGGUGACACUAAGGUUCAUUUUGAUUUCCAUCCCCUAACUAAGUUACUUAAACCACUUAGAUCUUUUCAAGAAGGUAACCCCUUUUUCUCACGAAUGAUAGAUUACUAGGUUUGCCAUCCCAAGCAAAAUUAGGAGAGUAACUUCGGUUACCUCGUCAUCGGGGAUUCAGCAGCAGAAAUCCGACCGCGUAUUUCACUCCUAUUCGAACACUCGCCCAAUUUAGACUUCAUUUUAUUUUUAUUUUUUCAUUUUUUAUUCACGAUUCUUCGACAUUGUGUAGAAGUGCGCUUACUAUAUACAAGAGGAUACUAAUAAGUAAUUUUCAUUUGAUAAUUUAACUUGUUUUAAGAAGCAUUUAAACAACAUAGCAUGGCGCUUCGCCUGUAAGGUCCAAGUGAGCUGGUUAUACGGACCGACUACCACCAUAACCUAACAAUAUUUGUUAGCAACUUCCAACUUGCAUUUUAUUAUACUAAAAUUACUUUAGCUAUAAAACUGCAUACCAAAUAUUUUCCUAUAAAUUCUAAUUAAAAAUUAAAAUGCUUGAAAUUUAGCUGAAACUUUGUUGGAUUUUUAUUUUUUCUAUAAUUUGGACGUGAAAGAGCUGAAAGUGGGAGGUCUCAUAACGCCAUCCAAACGUCGCUUUAUCGCUACUUGAGGAGUGCCAAAGAGGUACUUCAACCAUUUCCCCUACCUAUCUAACAAAUGAAAAAUAGUCAAAACUGGUCACUAUGUUGAGGCGCUAUAACUUUUUCACGCACUGUACUUAUGUGUAUGUAUAUAACCCGUUAAUAUUUAAGAAAAUAUUUAUUAGCAUCUGUGUCACACUUUUCCAAAAACUUAAAAGAACAACUAUAAGCCUCGAAUAAAUUGGAACAAAUUCUUUGUUCUUCUUUUACUGAAAGAAAAUGCUUGUGAGAAUCUUUUAACUUUGCGGUAACUGUCAUUAAUGAUUAGUGAGUUACAUUUUGUUAUAUUUAUUUUGUCAGUUUUUAUAUACUUUACUUUAUAUUUCCCCGAUAAUAUUAGUUUUAAAUUAGAAUUUUUAAGUUUCUUCAAAUAAUAAAUCAGUGUACAUACAAUAGACAUGUAAAAAAAACCAAAAAAAAAAAACAUAAAAACAUAUACACACACAAUUACACAAAAGCUACAUAAUAGUUUCUUUAUUUGUGUUUUGUAAAAUAAAAUUUAUAAUACAGAUUCAUUAAUAAAAACAAAAACAAUAAAAAAUAAUUAUUAAAAAAUUCAAAGUACCUUAUAAUAGAAUGAGCUGUAAAAACGAUACCUGCUUGAAACUAUAAAACGAAGUGAAAACAAAAAAUAAAUAAAUAUUGCAUCAUAAACCAAAUCAAAUUGCAAAAUCAACACUUUUCGUUAUGCAGAAAAAGUUAUUUUACUUCGAUAGAAAGAGAGAAAACAACUUCUAACCUUAGCUGAUUAAAUUCUUUCGCAAGUUACGUAAAAUGUGCACACUCAUACAUUUACAAAUGUACAUAUAUCAACACAUAUCGUCCCCUUAGUAUAACAAUAGCCUAUGUGCUCAUAGGCUAUUAUUUUUUUUAUUGAAUUUUUGGAUUCUCCAUCGUCGAUUUUAUAUGUGGUCAAAAUUUGGUCAAAUUCUAGUUCCACAAAGUGGGUCAAAACGUCAGUCAAAAAAUAAUAAAUACUUACAGACAUAACGAGAUUUGAGUGAGAGCUACUUUCGACAAAAAGUUUGAAAUUCAUUUUCUCAAAACAUCAAAAAAUGUAUAGGCUAUUUUAAUACUAAGGGGACGAUAUAAACAUACAUGAUUUUUAUAGCCUUCGCAAAAAACCUUUAUAUUUGACAUAGCAAAUUGAGAAGCCCAAAACCAUUUAUUUCCAUACAUAUAAUAUUUACACAUGUAAGUAUGUGCACACAACAGAUAAAAUUCAUGGAAUGCUUGCAACACUUAAAAGUUGCACAGUAAAUAAUUUUGAAAACAUUUUCGGCUUCACUUGAGAUUUAUUCUGCUAUACGAAAUAUUCUUUCAUUAUUUUUACAUAAUAAAUAUUUUUAGUAUUAACAAUUCUGGCGCAAAAUUAAUCACUCUAUAGGAAGAUUUAUAAUAUCUGCAAAUAGUGUCGUACGUUUUUUUUUAAUUUUAACAAUUAGUCUUUAUCUCAUUUACUUCUAAUACAAGGUGGCGCAAAAUUAAUCACGCUAUUGGAAAAUGUAUAGUUUUUUUGCAAAUAUCCUGGUACGUUUUUCAGUUUUGAUAAUUUUUUAUAAUACAAGGUGGCGCAAAAUUAAUCACUAUGUAGGAAUAUUUAUAAUUUUUGCAAAUUGUGUCGGACAUUUGUAAGUUUUAACAUAAUUUUUUUUGUAUUCCCUUAUAAUACAAGGUGGCGCAAAACUAAUCACUCUAUGGGAUAAUUUAUAAAUUUUGCAAAUUGCGUCGCACGUUUUUAAGUAGCAACAUAAUUUUUUUCUCAUUUAAGGUGGCGCAAAAUUAAUCACCCUAUCGAAAGAUGUAUAAUUUUUGUAAAUAUCCUCGGACGUUUUCAAGUUUUUACAAUUUUUUUUCUUAUUUACUUGCAAUACAAGAUGGCGUAAAAUUAAUCCACCCAACCGAAUAAUUUAUAAUUUUUGCAAAAGCCCUCAUACGCCAAUCAUAUUUGAUAUUUGUGAAGUAAACAGCUGCAGUAUACAAGCAAACAAGCAAUGGGACGCGCAAAGAUCUAAAUAAAGGUCACUCAAAAUAUUUUUUUUGAUUUAGUAAAAAUUGUUCAUCGAAAAAUAUUAAUUAUCAAGGAAUAAACUAAAAACCAAUAACAAAACAAAGUUAUUCAAAACCAAAAUUGGGAUAAUUGAUUUCACGCCACCUUGUAUAUACAUAAACGAAAAAUAUGCAAAGACUUUUUUGUUGAAUUUCCGUCGAUAUUAAAAUGCACCUCAGUCAAAUGCGCCUCUUCACUGUUAGGAUAACACAGCGCUUACUUCAAAAAUAAGUUUCGUAAAUUUCUCAACUUUGUUCAAUAGGCAGGCUUGCCUACAAUUUUCUUAAUCACUUAGCAGUCAGACUGCUCUCACUACUCUCAUGCAGUAAAAGCUUUUUUUAUAUACUAUUGAAUGAAUUAAUUAAUGAUUAAAGGCCGUUUUCAAUCACCAAUGUUAAUUUUUCUAUUGUUAGGUCAGACAUAUAAAUAGCUUCCCUCGUAUGAUCAUCAUCAUUGUUGGCUGGACUACCCAAUUGCCUCGAUUUCUUACCUGCGUCCUCCAUGACUGAAAUCCCAAAAAACCUGCGACUUCAUCUACACCGUCAAUCCAUCUGCGCGACAGGCGGCCUCUUCUUCUAUGUCUGUGGCGCUUUCCAAAGAGAGCGUGGGUAAUCGGUAUUAGCCUGUAAUAUGUGACCUGCCCACCUCAGUCUAAUGAUCAUUAAUGUGGUUAUUACACGUAGGUAUAGCCAACCAAUUUCGCUUCAGAUAGAUAUUUAACUCGAAGGUAGAGCCAAAAGCAAGGUUUCAAGACUUCCACAUCAUCAUCGAUUCGGUUUGUUCGCAGAGAAUAGCUAACCAACUAAGGAACAGCUGAGUACUCAAUUAAGAUCUUCCUCUUUAAGAAAGCCUUUCUGUGGAGAGUUCAAACGAAAGUACGGCAGGGCGCUAAUGCACCUGCGCAAAAUGAACUAUCAGCGCUACAGAUAGCUGAGAGAUAAGGACGAAGUAGUUAGUGCUAAGUGCUAUAAAUUGGUUGAUGCAGUGAAAAGGUAGUUGUAUGCUCAAUAUGGGCCGAGUUGAAGGUCAGGGAGCAUCUGUGCUUGUGUAGCUGCUAUGCAAUCAAAUGAGGUGAAGCUACAGGUAUCAAAAUGAACUUAUUUGUUAUUUGCGCUGCAUAAAUUAAAUUUUGCCUACUUUUUCUUGAGUGACCGAAAUGAAGAGAAUACAUGCAAGGAGUUCAACAGGCAGUAUCAGAGUUUAGAUUUGUAAAUGUGCGCAUGUAUGCCCUUUGGGUUAAGCUGGAGGCCGAAAAUUUCGUUUAAUUGUCGCUUCAUGAUUCGCAGCUUUGAAAGAGUACCCUUUGCUUUAUUUUUUCCUGUUGCAGGUAUUAGCCAGCAAAUGCAAUUUGGGUGGAGUUUGACUUUUCUUAUUCUGAUUUCGUUAAUUUAAUAAGCAGAUACUUGAAAUUGAAAUUCGAAAAAGGCGAGCCAAGAAGCACCGAGAGAAUGGUCAUUCGAAGCGGUGGAAAGUAAAAGGAAUAAUAGUCAAGGAAGAAAGGAGAGAAGUGGCAGAGAGAUGGGACAGAAUAGGGACAGAGAUAGCUAGUCUCGUGAUAAUUUUGCAGAUUAUUUGGCAAGUCUAAAAAUAUCCUCCAGUUUGACAGAACGAAACUGGAACGAAACCCACUAUUAGUAGCCUUGCUCUAGCAAAGGCAGGAGAGAGAAGCUCUUUGCUAUCUGCUAUCUGCCUCCUCUAAGCAGGCAAAUCGGGUACUCAGUGACUCCAAUGCUGGUCACAUGCUCCGUGUUGUGGACUGUGUCUUGUAAUAAUACCGACCAUCAACCGAACGUCUUUUAUGCCAAGUUUUAAAGGAAAGUUGAACAGUUUUCUCUUCGGGCUUGAAACACAAAACUCAUUGCAGUUCUGCAGCGUUCUAGACUGGACCAUCGCCCUUUAUGUAAAUUGCAUACAUAAUCGCUGAUCCAAUUGAUGAUUCCUGUGUUAAUGAUUCCGAUUAUUGCCGGUGGCAGAUACUUACUUUGUAUUUAGUUUGACACUUGAAAAUGGGUUUUAUUUAAAAUAAAUAGCCACUAAUUCUUAACACGUACACUCAUCACUUUCAUCAAAGAGGUUUUCUACAAAAAACGAACGCACAAAUGAGCAGUGAAAUGACUUUUGAAAAUUUUGCAAAUCAACCAGUUAAACGGCUAGUGUAGUGAACUUACGUAGAUGCGGAUUCACCUAGAGCGAAAAACAAAAAAAAGACUAUAAAAAACCAAAGUGCAUGCAUUCUUACAUACAUACAUUUGUUCAUACAAUAUUUUCAGAAUUUCUCCGUCCAUUCGUUGCAUACUCGAAGGAGAAAUUGUAAACUUAACAGAAUUUUUCGUGAGCACAAAACAUAAGCCAUCCAUUGAGAGCAUCCUACUUACCACAAAAACAAAAGCAAGAGAAAAUAUAAGAAGCACCUACAUACUGAGUGAUUCAGUUAGAUAAACAUACAUACAUACGUACAUACAUACAUGCAUGCAUAGAAACUUAGCUUCACACAUCUAUAUUCUUAUACGUAGUUAAAGUCAUACAAAACACAUACACACACAUACAUACAUGCAUUCAAAGUAUUUAAAGUGCAUACAGAGUUGCAUACGCCAUCACAAACAUCACAGCAUAUAUUCAUAUAUGUAUAUGCAUGUCUCUGUAUAUAUUUUAACGAAAUCAGUGGAAAUGUAUUAAAACUGGUGGCACACAUCCAAAAAAGAAUCAAUAUUUAUCACUUAUGAACGGAAAAAGUUAAAAUCUAGGCACAGCUCGCUUUAAUUUACAUGCAUACUUACAUACGUACGUAAAUUCUACAUACAUACUUAUACAGCAUUGAGAAGUUUUCACACAAAUGUUACAAAUUUAUAAAAGCUUCUAAUGAAAUGUGACAAAAAAACUGACGAAGAGAUUUUAACAGCAGACUUUAUUUUAUAUUAUAAUAUGUCAUGACGUAUGGAACCAUUUACGUACCUACCUACACACACUUGCUGUAUGUAUGCAGUUGGUCAAGUUUCAUGUAGAAUUUUCACGUCAAAACGAAAUCAACUACAGUUAAGAAAAUUAACUCAUUGAAACUUGCGAAGAACUAAAAAGUCUUAUACAAAAUAUUAAAUAAAAGUAGAAAAUUUCAAUUAAGUAAUAAAAUACAUUUUUCCUAUCCCAUAUUUGCUUACAAUUACAUAUGCACACAUACAUACUCACCCAUAUGCAGGCAUAAGUAUUUUAUAGAAGCAGUACUUUGAACAUGACAUCGAGCCCCGUUAAUUUUGUUGUUGUUGUAAAAUGAUAUGUGCGUUUAUUCCAAAAUUUAUACUCGCACGCCGACACAAGCAAAUCCACUGUAGUCCAGAGAGCAUUGAUGUUAAAUGUCAAAUGCUAACAAAACGCGGCUAAGAAAUUUUUGUAAUACCAACACGAGUGGGAGAAAUUUAACAUACGAGAGUUAACAUAACUGAGCAAAGUCAAAAGAAUUAAAUAUGGCGUUUGCAUUGUAAAUGUAGAAUGCAUGUGUGGCAAAAUAAAAUAACAGCAGAACUUGUACAUUUCUCCUGCCUGCUUUUUGUCGUCGGCAUCAAUGUUCUCUGCUAUUACUGUAAUACAUAUUGUUGGUGUAAAACUUAAUUUAUAUUCAAAACUCUUCUCUCCUCCACAACAAACUUUAGCAGCUAAAUAAAUGCAGAAUUUCAAUUAGCAAUUCGAUAAAUACAUGCACAGAUACACUCAUACACACAUACACACACAUGCAUCCAUAUGUAAAUGUUAAAUAUUUUCUUUUCGAUGAAGUUAAGUUUCUAAAUUCACACAAUCAGUAAUCAGCAACAACAAAAAAAUAACAUGCUUACAUAUUUACUUAUACAUACAAACCAGACGGUGAGGUAUUUUUGAAAACAACACAAUAUUUAAUUAUUAAAGAAUGUUUGAAACCAACAAACCAAAAUACACACAUACCAAGAGAAUGAUAGUAAAAACAAAAACAAAUAUUAAAUUGCAUAAUAUUAAUUAUAAUUACACUAUAUUAACUAUAUCUAUCCUUUUCUCUCUCGACGCUAGAUUGAAUGUCGAGAAACGACAAUAAACUGUGAAAAUGUAUUAAGAAACCAAAAGAAAAAAACCCGAAAAAACCAACAAAAAAACUCAAAACUUAUAAAAAUUAUGAUACAAACCAGAACUUUAAUGGCAAACAAAUGAAAAAAAAAAACAAGAAACAAAUAUAUAUACAUACAUAUAUUUAACUUUAAAUCAACUGAUAAAGAUGAAUGAUUAUUAUAAUGAAUUUGAUUAUGAUUAUGAUGACGAUGAAAUUUUCUUGCAACCAAUGCGAAAAUGUAAACAAAAUUAUUAUUAAAUAUAAAAGUGCAUAAAAAAUUUAACAAUGAAAAAGAAAUGAUUAUUACAUAUUAAAUAAAUAAAAAACCAAAUUGUUUUCUAAUAAAGAAAAAAAUAAAUAAAAUUUCC
Molecule: RNA transcript, 22397 nt
Organism: Anastrepha ludens (Mexican fruit fly)
Lineage: Eukaryota; Metazoa; Arthropoda; Insecta; Diptera; Tephritidae
Gene: Rim
Exons: 25
Source: RefSeq, a predicted model, not a curated record